Molecule: ribosomal RNA, 460 nt
Filed under: uncultured bacterium
Lineage: Bacteria
Description: partial 16S ribosomal RNA
Rfam family: Bacterial small subunit ribosomal RNA
Source: RNAcentral
CCUACGGGAGGCAGCAGUGAGGAAUAUUGGUCAAUGGACGAGAGUCUGAACAAGCCAAGUAGCGUGAAGGAUGACUGCCCUAUGGGUUGUAAACUUCUUUUAUAUGGGAAUAAAAUGUUCCACGUGUGGGAUUUUGUAUGUACCAUAUGAAUAAGGAUCGGCUAACUCCGGGCCAGCAGCCGCGGUAAUACGGAGGAUCCGAGCGUUAUCCGGAUUGAUUGGGUUUAAAGGGAGCGUAGGUGGAUUGUUAAGUCAGUUGUGAAAGUUUGCGGCUCAACCGUAAAAUUGCAGUUGAAACUGGCAGUCUUGAGUACAGUAGAGGUGGGCGGAAUUCGUGGUGUAGCGGUGAAAUGCUUAGAUAUCACGAAGAACUCCGAUUGCGAAGGCAGCUCACUGGACUGCAACUGACACUGAGGCUCGAAAGUGUGGGUAUCAAACAGGAUUAGAUACCCGUGUAGUC